This is a long non-coding RNA of Gorilla gorilla gorilla (western lowland gorilla), 989 nucleotides long. RefSeq lists it as uncharacterized. The record is from RefSeq and is a predicted model, not a curated record. The transcript has 3 exons. Lineage: Eukaryota; Metazoa; Chordata; Mammalia; Primates; Hominidae.
AAUUACUAUUCAAAGGACAUUGACAGAAGUUGAGUAAUAAUACUAAGCAUAGUCUACGCUUAGUAUUAUUUCCUUCAUAUCAGCAGGUCUCUUAUUCAGGUUAUGAGACCACUUUGAAAUUAGUGGAGAGAAAAGUUAAUGCUAAACUAAUAUUUGUUUUUUUGCAAAUCAAGGAGAUAAGUCAUUUCAAUGUCCCUGAUGGUUCCAUCUAGAAAUAGAGAUCACAGGUGAUGAAGGAGAUGAUAAUGAUGGUGAUAAUAAGGAUGGCAGUAAUGAGAAAAGCUUCAAUCAACUGGGUGUCUAAUUUGGGACAUGUCUCAAUCAGAAUAGAAUAAGCUUGAGGCACCAUGACACAGAAAACAAGGACACAUGACUUCAGAUACUUAAGAAAACUCAUGUCAUCAAAUCACAUCAAGAACAUUGGAUGGCACAUCAAGACCUUCGUAAUAAGCUCACUCACUGUAAAAUAUGGAGACUGGUAGUAUAUAUACCCUCAGAAAAAGUUAUUAUGAGAGUUCAAGAAAGUGGCCCUUGCAGAAUGCACAAAGCAGUACUGGUCACAUAGAGGCACUCAUCAGUAUUAUCUGUGUAUCAUCAAGAUCAUCAUCAUCCCCAUCACCAUGCCGAUCAUCCUUUCAACCAUGGAAUGCUGCUGACAUAAGCAAGUGACAAGUCACAUUCUGCUUGACGUCCUGGUGCUGUGGCUCACGCCUGUAAUCCCAGGACUUUGGGAGGCCGAGGCGGGCAGAUCACGAGGUCAGGAGUUUGAGACCAGCCUGGCCAACAUGGUGAAACCCUAUCUCUACUAAAAAUACAAAAAUUAGCUGGACGCAGUGGCACGUACCUAUAAUCCCAGCCACUUGGGAGGCUGAGGCAGGAGAAUUGCUUGAAUCUGGGGGGUGGAGCUUGCAGUGAGCCAAGAUCGCGCCAGUGCACUCCAGCCUGGGUGACAGAGUGAGACUCCAUCUCAAAAAACAAACAAACAAACA